This 440-nucleotide ribosomal RNA is filed under the name uncultured bacterium. RNAcentral describes it as "partial 16S ribosomal RNA". It matches the Rfam family "Bacterial small subunit ribosomal RNA", at positions 338 to 795 of the family's 1533-position model. The record is from RNAcentral.
CCUACGGGUGGCAGCAGUGGGGAAUAUUGCACAAUGGGGGAAACCCUGAUGCAGCAACGCCGCGUGAGUGAAGAAGUAUUUCGGUAUGUAAACUCCUUUUGUUAGAGGAGAUAAUGACGGUAUCUAACGAAUAAGCACCGGCUAACUCCGUGCCAGCAGCCGCGGUAAUACGGAGGGUGCAAGCGUUACUCGGAAUCACUGGGCGUAAAGAGCGCGUAGGCGGGAUAGCAAGUCAGAUGUGAAAUCCUAUGGCUUAACCAUAGAACUGCAUUUGAAACUGUUAUUCUAGAGUAUGGGAGAGGUAGGUGGAAUUCUUGGUGUAGGGGUAAAAUCCGUAGAGAUCAAGAGGAAUACUCAUUGCGAAGGCGACCUGCUAGAACAUAACUGACGCUGAUGCGCGAAAGCGUGGGGAGCAAACAGGAUUAGAUACCCCGGUAGUC